This is a long non-coding RNA of Equus caballus (horse), 1808 nucleotides long. Lineage: Eukaryota; Metazoa; Chordata; Mammalia; Perissodactyla; Equidae. The record is from Ensembl.
CAACGUGCAGGCUUCUUUCCAAAGGGCGAGUUGGGCCCCACAGCAUCUUGCUUCCAGCUCUUUGGGAAGCUAAGAAACAACUCGCUCUGCUCAGUGCUCUUACAGCCUACCGGGAACACCUCUUCCAAAGGCCUGUGAAACGCAGUUUCUUUGCAGGCCUGAUCUGGCUGAAGUAGGACCUCUGCUCUGUGUGUGCUACAUUGCCCUAGAGCUGAAAGGCACAACGUGCAGGCUUCUUUCCAAGGGGCGAGUUGGGCCCCACAGCCUCUUGCUUCCAGCUCUUUGGGAAGCUAAGAAACAAAUUGCUCUUCACAGUGCCCUUAGAGCCUACCGUGAACAUCUCUUCCAAAGGCCUAUGAAACGCAGUUUCUUUGCAGGCCUGAUCUGGCUGAAGUAGGACUUCUGCUCUGGGUGUGCUACUUUGCCCUAGAGCUGAAAGGCACACCGUGCAGGCUUCUUUCCAAAGGGCGAUUGGGCCCCACAGCAUCUUGCUUCCAGCUCUUUGGGAAGCUAAGAAACAACUCGCUCUGCUCAGUGCUCUUACAGCCUAGUGGGAACAUCUCUUCCAAAGGCCUGUGAAACGCAGUUUCUUUGCAGGCCUGAUCUGCCUGAAGUAGGACUUCUGCUCUGGGUGUGCUACAUUGCCCUAGAGCUGAAAGGAACAAUGUGCAGGCUUCUUUCCAAGGGUCGAGUUGGGCCCCACAGCAUCUUGCUUCCAGCUCUUUGGGAAGCUAAGAAACAACUCGCUCUGCACAGUGCUCUUACAGCCUACCGGGAAUAUCUCUCCAAAGGCCUGUGAAACGCAGUUUCUUUGCAGGCCGGAUCUGGCUAAAGUAGGACUUCUGCUCUGGGUGUUCUACUUUGUCCUAGAGCUGAAAGGCACACCGUGCAGGCUUCUUUCCAAAGAGCGAGUUGGGCCCCACAGCAUCUUGCUUCCAGCUCUUUGAGAAGCUAAGAAACAACUCGCUCUGCACAGUGCUCUUACAGCCUACCGGGAACAUCUCUGCCAAAGGCCUGUGAAACGCAGUUUCUUUGCAGGCCUGAUCUGGCUGAAGUAGGACUUCUGCUCUGGGUGUGCUACUUUGCCCUAGAGCUGAAAGGCACAACGUGCAGGCUUCUUUCCAAAGGGCGAGUUGGGCCACACACGAUCUUGCUUCCAGCUCUUUGAGAAGCUAAGAAACAACUCGCUCUGCACAGUGCUCUUACAGCCUACCGGGAACAUCUCUUCCAAAGGCCUGUGAAACGCAGUUUCUUUGCAGGCCUGAUCUGGCUGAAGUAGGACUUCUGCUCUGGGUGUGCUACUUUGCCCUAGAGCUGAAAGGCACACCAUGCAGGCUUCUGUCCAAAGGGCGAGUUGGGCUCCACAGCAUCUUGCUUCCAGCUCUUUGGGAAGCUAAGAAACAACUCGCUCUACACAGUGCUCUUACAGCCUAGUGGGAACAUCUCUUCCAAAGGCCUGUGAAACGCAGUUUCUUUGCAGGCCUGAUCUGGCUGAAGUAGGACUUCUGCUCUGGGUGUGCUACUUUGCCCUAGAGCUGAAAGGCACAACGUGCAGGCUUCUUUCCAAAGGGCGAGUUGGGCCCCACAGCAUCUUGCUUCCAGCUCUUUGGGAAGCUAAGAAACAACUCGCUCUGCACAGUGCUCUUACAGCCUAGUGGGAACAUCUGUCAAAAGGCCUGUGAAACGCAGUUUCUUUGCAGGCCUGAUCUGGCUGAAGUAGGACUUCUGCUCUGGGUGUGCUACAUUGCCCUAGAGCUGAAAGGCACAACGUGCAGGCUUCUUUCCAAAGGGCGAGUUGGGCCCCACAG